CAAUAGCGUAUAUUAAAGUUGUUGCGGUAAAAAAGCUCGUAGUUGGAUUUCUGUUGAGAGCGACCGGUCCAUACCAUGUAUGCGUAUCUGGCUUGCUCUCGGCAUCCUCUCGAUAGACGUUACUGCGCUUGAUUGCGUGGUGCGGAUCUCGGGACUUUUACUUUGAGGAAAUUAGAGUGUUCACGGCAGGCUUUCGCCAGAAUACAUUAGCAUGGAAUAAUACUAUAGGAUCUUGGUUCUAUUUUGUUUGUUUCUAGAAUUGAGAUAAUGAUUAAUAGGGACAAUUGGGGGCAUUCGUAUCAACACGUCAGAGGUGGAAUUCUUGGAUUGUGUUGCGACGAACUACUGCGAAAGCAUUUGCCAAGGAUGUUUUCAUUGA
Molecule: ribosomal RNA, 379 nt
Filed under: uncultured eukaryote
Lineage: Eukaryota
Description: partial 18S ribosomal RNA
Rfam family: Eukaryotic small subunit ribosomal RNA
Source: RNAcentral